UACCGCUGGGGGCGCCAGAUGGCUGAGAUGGACGCGCACGCGUCCGGUCCCUUCGAACCUGAAGUGGAUAAUCCCACCGUAGGGAAGCGA
This 90-nucleotide non-coding RNA is filed under the name human gut metagenome. Its description in RNAcentral is "TPP riboswitch (THI element)". It matches the Rfam family "TPP riboswitch aptamer (THI element)", at positions 7 to 92 of the family's 105-position model. Rfam says of the family: Vitamin B(1) in its active form thiamin pyrophosphate (TPP) is an essential coenzyme that is synthesised by coupling of pyrimidine and thiazole moieties in bacteria. RNAcentral also lists the same sequence under 1 other name. The record is from RNAcentral.